UCCGGUUUGUCACCGGCAGUCUCCCUAGAGUUCCCGGCAUUACCCGUUGGCAACUAAGGACGGGGGUUGCGCUCGUUGCGGGACUUAACCCAACAUCUCACGACACGAGCUGACGACAGCCAUGCAGCACCUGUGCAUGCUCCCCUUGCGGGGUCGUCCCACUUUCAUGGUUCUACCACAUGCAUGUCAAGGCCAGGUAAGGUUCUUCGCGUUGCAUCGAAUUAAGCAACAUGCUCCGCCGCUUGUGCGGGUCCCCGUCAAUUCCUUUGAGUUUUAGCCUUGCGGCCGUACUCCCCAGGCGGGGUGCUUAAUGCGUUUGCGACGGCACGGAAGGGGUUGAUGCCUCCCACACCUAGCACCCAACGUUUACGGCUGGGACUAC
RNAcentral lists this unclassified non-coding RNA (382 nucleotides) under uncultured bacterium. RNAcentral's name for it is "contains 16S-23S intergenic spacer region". The record is from RNAcentral.